RNAcentral lists this ribosomal RNA (253 nucleotides) under uncultured bacterium. RNAcentral describes it as "partial 16S ribosomal RNA". It matches the Rfam family "Bacterial small subunit ribosomal RNA", at positions 524 to 776 of the family's 1533-position model. The record is from RNAcentral.
UACGUAGGGGGCAAGCGUUGUCCGGAUUUAUUGGGCGUAAAGAGCGUGUAGGCGGCUUCACAGGUCCGCUGUGAAAACUCGAGGCUCAACCUCGAGCUGUCGGUGGAAACCGUGUGGCUAGAGUCCGGAAGAGGAGAGUGGAAUUCCCGGUAUAGCGGUGAAAUGCGCAGAUAUCAGGAGGAACACCAAUUGCGAAGGCAGCUCGCUGGGACGUUACUGACGCUGAGACGCGAAAGCGUGGGGAGCAAACAGG